GUUUGAUCCUGGCUCAAGAUGAACCCUAGCGGCAGGCUUAAUACAUGCAAGUCGAACGGCAGCGGGUCCAGCAAUGGAUGCCGGCGAGUGGCGCACGGGUGCGUAACACGUAUGCAACCUACCUUUAACCGGGACAUAACCUCAAGAAAUCGUGGCUAAUAUUCCAUAAUAUCUUUGAAUCGCAUGGUUUGAAGAUCAAAAUUCCGAUGGUUCUAGAUGGGCAUGCGCGACAUUAGCUAGUUGGUGAGGUAAUGGCUCACCAAGGCUACGAUGUUUAGGGGGUCUGAGAGGAUGAUCCCCCACACUGGAACUGAGACACGGUCCAGACUCCUACGGGAGGCAGCAGUGAGGAAUAUUGGUCAAUGGAGGCAACUCUGAACCAGCCAAGUCGCGUGAAGGAUGAAGGUCUUAUGGAUUGUAAACUUCUUUUGCAAGGGAAUAAAGUGGGGGACGUGUCCUCCUUUGCAUGUACCUUGCGAAUAAGGAUCGGCUAACUCCGUGCCAGCAGCCGCGGUAAUACGGAGGAUCCGAGCGUUAUCCGGAUUUAUUGGGUUUAAAGGGUGCGCAGGCGGGAUGUUAAGUCGGCGGUGAAAUUUUGCAGCCCAACUGUAAAAGUGCCUUCGAUACUGGCUUUCUUGAGUGUGGAUGAAGUAGGCGGAAUUUGUGGUGUAGCGGUGAAAUGCUUAGAUAUCACGAGGAACUCCGAUUGCGCAGGCAGCUUACUAAACCACUACUGACGCUCAUGCACGAAGGCGUGGGGAUCAAACAGGAUUAGAUACCCUGGUAGUCCACGCAGUAAACGAUGAUUACUAGUUGUUUGCGAUACAAUGUAAGCGACUGAGCGAAAGCGUUAAGUAUUCCGCCUGGGGAGUACGGUCGCAAGAUUAAAACUCAAAGGAAUUGACGGGGGCCCGCACAAGCAGCGGAGCAUGUGGUUUAAUUCGAAGCAACGCGAAGAACCUUACCUAGACUUGACAUCUCCUGCAUUACCCUUAAUCGGGGAAGUUCCUUCGGGGACAGGAAGACAGGUGGUGCAUGGUUGUCGUCAGCUCGUGUCGUGAGAUGUUGGGUUAAGUCCCGCAACGAGCGCAACCCUUAUUGUUAGUUGCUACCAUUUAGUUGAGCACUCUAGCGAGACUGCCCGGGUUAACCGGGAGGAAGGUGGGGAUGACGUCAAAUCAUCAUGCCCCUUAUGUCUAGGGCUACACACAUGCUACAAUGGCUGGUACAGAGAGAUGCAAUACCGCGAGGUGGAGCUAAACUUCAAAACCAGUCUCAGUUCGGAUUGCAGGCUGAAACUCGCCUGCAUGAAGCUGGAGUUGCUAGUAAUCGCGAAUCAGAAUGUCGCGGUGAAUACGUUCCCGGGCCUUGUACUCACCGCCCGUCAAG
RNAcentral lists this ribosomal RNA (1389 nucleotides) under uncultured bacterium. RNAcentral's name for it is "bacterial SSU rRNA". It matches the Rfam family "Bacterial small subunit ribosomal RNA". The record is from RNAcentral.